GGCACAAGUAGGCUAUCAUUUAAGUUUUGGAGGAGUUGAAAGUUACAUACUUAAGUGUAGAUUUCAACGGAGCGGGGGUCAGUGUCUCUAACCCCUUCAUUGUUCAAGGGUCAACUGCAAUUUUGUUUUAACAAAUGAUCUGAAUUUUACAAUCAGAUCUUCUACUCUGAAGCACUAGCUUAAAACCCCCAUCACUAGAAAGCUCCAGGUCUGCUCGGUAAGGUGCUGUCACCUUUCUAGAGUUUAUCUGUGUGCAGGGGAGUUACAAUGCUGAGCUAUCUGUCUGAGGGUAAUCACAAGCACCUGAAGAAUAAGAACACAGAAUGGAAAAGACUUUGGAUAAUGCUCUCUCACCACUCCAUCCCCUCUGCAAAGCCAUGUAACUCGUUUGAUGUGCUAUUCACAGUACAUGGAUUUUUUUCAGGUCCCUUGGAGAUGAUGUCAUAGUGUAAAGCUAUAAUGCACUGAGAAAUAAAGGAACAAUAGAUUUCCAUGACUUU
This is a long non-coding RNA of Canis lupus familiaris (dog), 500 nucleotides long. RefSeq lists it as uncharacterized. The transcript has 3 exons. NCBI's taxonomy places the organism in Eukaryota, Metazoa, Chordata, Mammalia, Carnivora, Canidae. The record is from RefSeq and is a predicted model, not a curated record.